Long non-coding RNA from Saccostrea cuccullata (small rock oyster), 469 nucleotides. RefSeq lists it as uncharacterized. The transcript has 3 exons. The record is from RefSeq and is a predicted model, not a curated record. Lineage: Eukaryota; Metazoa; Mollusca; Bivalvia; Ostreida; Ostreidae.
CUUUCUUUAGUAGUAGGGGAAAUUUAUUAAUUUUGGUCUGUCUGUCCACUCAUCUGUUUGUCAUUCUGUCUGUGUGUAACACUUGUUUGCAUGUAAUAUCUCUUGAAGGCUUCAUCCACCUGUAAGGAAAUUAUUAUACCAAAACUCCCCAAGACCUAUAAAGACCCCAGUUGAUUUUAAGAUCAAAGGAUUUUAAGGUCAAGGUCAAUACCAGGAAGCUGGGAGUGUGGUAUGUUAUCAGUAGGACUGAGAUAACACUAUCUAGAGGAGGGUAUUAUCAACAGACCACAGUACACAGGAAUCAACUAAAACACUAGUCUACCUUUUAGGGAUUAAUGUGACCUGUUAUUAAAUAGGAUUUGAGGUCUGGAGGUGAUGCCAUGGACUGUAGGCUGUUACUGAUUGUCAGUUUGAUUGUGCCUGUCUCCAGUGCAAUUACUGAGAGCCACCAGCAGCUUAGGGCAAACAG